Molecule: ribosomal RNA, 429 nt
Filed under: Acidobacteriota bacterium
Lineage: Bacteria; Pseudomonadati; Acidobacteriota
Description: Acidobacteria bacterium partial 16S ribosomal RNA
Rfam family: Bacterial small subunit ribosomal RNA
Source: RNAcentral
UGGGGAAUUUUGGACAAUGGGGGAAACCCUGAUCCAGCCAUCCCGCGUGUGCGAUGAAGGCCUUCGGGUUGUAAAGCACUUUUGGCAGGAAAGAAACGUCAUGGGUUAAUACCCCGUGAAACUGACGGUACCUGCAGAAUAAGCACCGGCUAACUACGUGCCAGCAGCCGCGGUAAUACGUAGUGUGCAAGCGUUAAUCGGAAUUACUGGGCGUAAAGCGUGCGCAGGCGGUUCGGAAAGAAAGAUGUGAAAUCCCAGAGCUCAACUUUGGAACUGCAUUUUUAACUACCGGGCUAGGGUGUGUCAGAGGGAGGUGGAAUGCCGCGUGUAGCAGUGAAAUGCGUAGAUAUGCGGAGGAACAACGAUGGCGAAGGCAGCCUCCUGGGAUAACACUGACGCUCAUGCACGAAAGCGUGGGGAGCAAACAGG